GUACACUCCUGCGGGAGGCAGCAGUGGGGAAUAUUGGACAAUGGGCGCAAGCCUGAUCCAGCCAUGCCGCGUGAGUGAUGAAGGCCCUAGGGUUGUAAAGCUCUUUCACCGGUGAAGAUAAUGACGGUAACCGGAGAAGAAGCCCCGGCUAACUUCGUGCCAGCAGCCGCGGUAAUACGAAGGGGGCUAGCGUUGUUCGGAUUUACUGGGCGUAAAGCGCACGUAGGCGGACUAUUAAGUCAGGGGUGAAAUCCCGGGGCUCAACCCCGGAACUGCCUUUGAUACUGGUAGUCUUGAGUUCGAGAGAGGUGAGUGGAAUUCCGAGUGGAGAGGUGAAAUUCGUAGAUAUUCGGAGGAACACCAGUGGCGAAGGCGGCUCACUGGCUCGAUACUGACGCUGAGGUGCGAAAGCGUGGGGAGCAAACAGGAUUAGAUACCCCAGUAGUCCC
RNAcentral lists this ribosomal RNA (449 nucleotides) under uncultured organism. Its description in RNAcentral is "partial 16S ribosomal RNA". It matches the Rfam family "Bacterial small subunit ribosomal RNA", at positions 331 to 797 of the family's 1533-position model. The record is from RNAcentral.